CUCUCUGUAGCUCAGUUGGUUAGAGCGCUGCACCAGAAUCGCAGGGCCGAAGGUUUCGGUUCCUGCCAGAGCAC
Molecule: non-coding RNA, 74 nt
Organism: Paramuricea clavata
Lineage: Eukaryota; Metazoa; Cnidaria; Anthozoa; Malacalcyonacea; Plexauridae
Source: the annotation of a GenBank genome assembly